GAUAACUUGGCAGCGGCAGGGGGAAGCGGCCGGGUUAUGUAUUUUAUUUCAUUUUUUUCCCCCUGGGCUCGGUACCGGGUUGAUGCUGGGCGCCGGGCGAGCCGCGCUGGUCACCGCCGGGUCCCACCUGGAGGAGGGAAGCACACGCAAAAAGGAGGAAAAAAAAAAAAAAAAAACCGAAAGAAAAGAAAGAAAAAAAAAAUCACGGAAAACAGGCGGGGAGGGGGGAUGGGAGAGGGUGCCACCCGGAUGCGGCGGAUGGGACAGCGCGCCACGCGCAGAGCAGGGCCCCGCUAUAUCCCUGCAGGGAAUGGGACUGGGGGAAAAAGCACGCCGUAUCGCAAGGGAACGUGGGGGACAUGGGGAACGCAGGCCCAUACAGGCUGCCCGUGGGCCACCAGGCUGUUGUGUGGAGGCUGGCAGGUGCUGGGCCGGGCUGGGUUGUGGGUGACCAGCAUGUGGUGACAAGGGCUGCAGCUGCCAGGUCAACCUGUGUGACUGGGUGUUGUUGUGAGCAGGGGUAGGAGUUGGUACUGGGGUUGGCUUGCUUUCCUUGGCAUUUGUGCUCCUAAAAGGAAGACCAUAGAAUCGUUGAGAUUGGAAAAGGCCAUUAAGGUCAUCUAGACCAACCACCAACCCAUCACCAUCAUGCCCGCUAACCCAUGUCCCUCAGUGUAAGUACACAUGGGGGCAGGGACCUUUUAGUUGCGUGCAUUCCUUCCUGAACAGAGUUAUUUCCAGUGCUAGGCCUCACUUUCAGGUAUCCAUAGUGGCACAGACCACUGUGCCCUUUCAGCCAAAGAUUGCACACAUACACUUUUAAUAUCUCAAACUGCCAACUCACUGCAGCACCUGCACACUGACCAAAGCUCUCAGUAAGGCCCAAAGUCAAGUGCCCCAUCCCACACUGCAUUUUCUACUGCCUGUUCUGACAACAGCUCACCGUGUACGUGUAGCUAGUGCAACAGUUCACAGAGAAGCUGAAAAGCUGAAGCAGCACAGGGCUGAAACUAAAUUAUUGUUGCAGCUUCUAUAUUAGCAUUAACGCUUUCAUUUUCCUCAUUUAAAUACAAUAAAAGAGAACAUGGUCUUUGCUUAAUAUUGUUACUAAUCAGGUUUUGCUCUUCCAGUUUUUUAAGAAGAUGAAGCCAGGGAGAAUCUAGCAUGCUGCUGUGCUGCUGCUGUAUUAGUACUCUGGAACAGUGCCUUAUUUUGGUGAAGUCUUUGCUCUUUAACUGGGAGGAAAAAAUAAAUUCUCAGAAUACAGCGAAGUCCAAGCACUGCUUUAAGGAGAAUGAAAUUGAAAAAGUACUUAUUUUUAACACAAGCUACUCGAGGUGCUUUCUGUCUUGUCUAUAAAGACAAAUUUGUAUAGUGUUUCUGUUUCAGAAUUGUUUUGAGCGGCAUUUAGACGUAGAAGUUUUUAUUUGUCUUAAGUAUACUGUUUCAACAGUGCACUGGAGAGCACAGGGUACAUUACUGAUACACUGGUUUUGGUAGUCUUAAAAAGCACUUUGUGCAGCUUGAUUGUUGUCUGUAUUUUGCCAUUUAUUUUUCAGUGAGGCUCUUCUGAUUGAUGUGGGAAGUUUCUUUAAAGAGAUGUAAGUUAUGGCAUAGCUACCCAAGAUGCUCUGCGCAGUUGUUCCAUACCUCUUCCUAAGAGAGAGAUUUUAGUUGUGAUUGUUGUGCUUUUAAAAGGGAAUUAGUUAAUCAAAUUGCUGGUUUUGGAAUGCAUUGAAAGGAAUAUUGAAAUGCAUUAACUUCAUUAAAAGAAGUGAGCAGAUAGGUAACAAAACAAGUAUUAGUCAAAUAAGCAUGAACUUGCCUAUGGAGCCAAUUCAGCCCUAGUGAAAUCAACACAGUUGUGCUUGUCUACAGCAUAUUUAAUUUGGCCUAUGCAGCCACAGAGCCAACACUUCAUUUGGCUGUCAAAGGUGUGUAUAUUAAAAACAUAUGAGCCAUGCGUCUCCUUCAUGUGAUUAACCUCUGAAGUCAGUCGCCCAGUUUUCCACUUAGUUCAGCUGCACAGUCCUAUCACAUAUGUAGUAUUUGGUGCACGUAUGCACUGGAGGUGCAGGGAAACAUUCCCAUCCCAGCAUUAGCACGGGGAUGUGAGCUGUGUCUGAAGCGAGGGCAUGACGAGAUGUGUUGCAGCAGAGGUUGCUCACAACCAUAAGGGUUCCUGUGUGUAAGUCCCAGUUAAUGGGCUGCACUGAGGUCUUUGCCACCAUCUUUCAUUACUGCUGUUACUCACACCAGCGAGAGUAAAGGAAAGGCUGGUAUGUCUAUAAUCACACAUUCAUUUGCUAUGUAGAUAUAUCUUAAGAGCCACUCAACCCGGGAAAAUUGUGCUGGAAUGAGGUAGUGGAUGGAUGUAAAACAGAACCAUGUGCAGGUGGCUCGUUCAUUCUGGAAUGACAGAGCUUCUUCCUGGUUUCACUUAAUCCACUUCUAAAGUGGAUUAGGCGAAUUCAAAAACGUGAACUCUUAUGCUGGCAUGAUAUUUGACUACAUAUGGUUUUGGUUAAGGGUAAUUACUGCAGUGUAGCUAAUAACUGUUUUGGAAUAAUUUUGUGUGUAGACAAGUCCAAAAUCGCACACCUGAAAACAACACACUGUACAUAGCCUUUCUGUAUAACAUAAAGUUAAUUUAGCCCAACAUUUGACCUACUUCUUUCCUUGUGAGGCAUAUUUAAUUCAUUACAAGUUUUCUUUCUUAGCAGAAACUGUACAACAGCCAUGUGCUUAUGAUCAAUUCAAGGACAGUGCUUCCAUGUGCACUCCACAAGAUAAAUAAACAAUUUACACAACAUAUAGUCUGAGUACAUUCUCAGCUGUUUGAAGCAGACAGUUGGCCCUCUACUGCAGAAAAUAUCAAGUUCUAAAUUGUAAAUAUUUUGAGUAGGCUGUUAACAAAAGGAAAACAAAAGCCAAAGGUCUAUGUCCUCUUGAACCCCCAUGAUCUGCUUAUCCUUUGACUACAUAGUGCUCAAAGCAGUAGUGUCUGCAUGAAGCACCCGUUAUAAUUCAAUACCUCUAGCUCCUGCAUGAGGAACCUCUCAGGUUAGCACAAGAUGGCUUGCAAAACAAUGGGCUUUCCAGGAGGUACCUUAGGAACAGGGAGCUAGUUCUUCAUUUGCUUACAGAGACCUGAAUCAGGAACAACCUACUGUAGUCUCAAGCAAUUACUCUGCUCUGAACAGAUGCAGGAGGGCUCAGAAUCAGCUGUGUUCUAUCACUGCUGGUUCAUAGGAAAGUUAUUGAAAUGAUAAUGAGAAAGGAUUUUUUUCUUUUCAGCCUUGUGCCGAGCAGAAGGAUCUUCAAACGUUAUUCUGUCUUAUUCUGUACCACACACCUCCCUGCAAAGAGAGGUGACUCUGACCUGAAUUACAAACUUUAACCUCAAAAAAAAAGGGGGGAAGCUGAAGGUGGGAGAGGGAAAUAAGGAAAAAAAAAACCAAA
This is a long non-coding RNA of Tympanuchus pallidicinctus (lesser prairie-chicken), 3462 nucleotides long. RefSeq lists it as uncharacterized. The record is from RefSeq and is a predicted model, not a curated record. The transcript is spliced from 2 exons. Lineage: Eukaryota; Metazoa; Chordata; Aves; Galliformes; Phasianidae.